GUGCCAGACUCCUACGGGAGGCAGCAGUGGGGAAUAUUGCACAAUGGGGGAAACCCUGAUGCAGCGACGCCGCGUGAGUGAAGAAGUAAUUCGUUAUGUAAAGCUCUAUCAGCAGGGAAGAAAAUGACGGUACCUGAGUAAGAAGCCCCGGCUAACUACGUGCCAGCAGCCACGGUAAUACGUAGGGGGCGAGCGUUAUCCGGAUUCACUGGGUGUAAAGGGAGCGUAGACGGCCAUGCAAGCCAGGGGUGAAAGCCCGGGGCCCAACCCCGGGACUGCCCUUGGAACUGUGCGGCUAGAGUGCGGGAGGGGCAGGCGGAAUUCCUGGUGUAGCGGUGAAAUGCGUAGAUAUCAGGAGGAACACCGGCGGCGAAGGCGGCCUGCUGGACCGCGACUGACGUUGAGGCUCGAAAGCGUGGGGAGCGAACAGGAUUAGAUACCCUAGUACAG
This 450-nucleotide ribosomal RNA is filed under the name uncultured bacterium. Its description in RNAcentral is "bacterial SSU rRNA". It matches the Rfam family "Bacterial small subunit ribosomal RNA", at positions 328 to 793 of the family's 1533-position model. The record is from RNAcentral.